Acanthosepion pharaonis is the source of this 114-nucleotide non-coding RNA. The record is from the annotation of a GenBank genome assembly. Lineage: Eukaryota; Metazoa; Mollusca; Cephalopoda; Sepiida; Sepiidae.
UUACGGUGAUAUCGUGUUGAAGCACUGGUUUCCAUAUUAAUACCAAAGCUAAGCAAUGCUGAGCCUGGUCAGUACCUAGAUGGGUGACCGCAUGGGAAUACCAGGUGCUGUAAG